This is a long non-coding RNA of Sorex araneus (European shrew), 731 nucleotides long. RefSeq lists it as uncharacterized. The record is from RefSeq and is a predicted model, not a curated record. Lineage: Eukaryota; Metazoa; Chordata; Mammalia; Eulipotyphla; Soricidae. The transcript has 4 exons.
GCGUGUGCGUGUGCGUGUGCGUGUGUGUGUGUGCGGGUGUGUGUGCGUGCGUGUGUGCGUGCGUGUGUGUGUGUCCGCGUGUGUGUGCGUGUGUGUUUGGGGGCCGCGCCCGCCCGUGAUGCGGGGGUUCCUCCCUGCUCUGCACGCGGCAGUCACUCUUGGCAGGCUCAGGGGACCCGGUGGGAUGCCAGGGGCCCACCCGGGCUCGGGUCUUGAGCGUAGCCGGGGAGAUGGGACUGGAGACUGGAGGGUGUCAUGUGAAGCAUAAAUGGGAAGAAGAAAGACAAAUGCCAGGUGAUCUCACACGUGUGCCAUAUGAAGAAACAGAGAAAGGGAACGGACAGAGCGUGCAAGGCAAGUGCUCCACCACUGGAUGUGAAAUUUGGCAUAUGCGGCCGCAUAUGCCAGGAGCUUCGGAACCUGGUGGCUUCUGCAGCUUGGUGUGUCUCGGAGGUUCUUCUGGCGCUGGGUCGUUUAUGUGUCUGAGGAGGAGAGUCUGUUUGAUCUGUGAAAGUGUGGAAACCGGAACAAACAUGCAUCGGCGGCAGAGUAUAAGACAGCACCGGCCCAGAUGACCUUCAACCCAGCGGCCAGAGCUGCAGUUAGCUUUCUAUGGACAGCUUGGCACUGGAAAGGCCAAGGAAAUGGAGGCUCACAAGAAGAGGCAGUGAAGAAACAGGCCUAGCGGUGCUGUCCAGUACGGCAACUAAAAAUCUUAUUAGGAGGCUCUG